RNAcentral lists this small RNA (415 nucleotides) under Massilia sp. KIM. RNAcentral describes it as "cspA thermoregulator". It matches the Rfam family "cspA thermoregulator". Lineage: Bacteria; Pseudomonadati; Pseudomonadota; Betaproteobacteria; Burkholderiales; Oxalobacteraceae. The record is from Rfam by way of RNAcentral.
CGAAUAGGGCAUACCCUGUUUUUAUUCGGUAUAAUGUGGGAUCGUUGGGUUCGAGCUAGUAGUGCAGUCUGUCUGUCAUUCCUUUCUUGCUUCUUCAAACGAUCUAAACGGGCGCAAGCCCAACUUAACUGAAAUAGGAAAUUGUAAUGGCAACUGGCAUCGUAAAAUGGUUCAAUGACUCGAAGGGCUUCGGCUUCAUCACCCCGGACGAAGGCGGCGAAGAUCUGUUUGCACACUUCUCGGCUAUCCAGAGCACCGGCUUCAAGUCGCUGCAGGAAAACCAGCGCGUCUCGUUCGACGUGACCACUGGCCCGAAGGGCAAGCAGGCUGCGAACAUCCAGCCUCUGUAAUACCUGCGCAUAGCGCCGCGCGCAUAGCGCCAUAGAAAAUCCCCGGACCAGCCGGGGAUUUUUUU